UCCCGUUGAUCCUGCGGGAGGCUGCUGCUAUUGGAGUUCGACUAAGCCAUGCAAGUCAAAGGGUCUCUUCGGAGGCACAGGCAGAAUGCUCAGUAACACGUCGAUAACCUACCCUUAGAUCAGGGAUAACCUUGGGAAACUGAGGCUAAAACCUGAUAGAAGAAAAUAAUUGGAAAAUUGUUUCUUUCAAAAGCAAUGUCUAAGGAUGGGUCGGCGGCGGAUUAGGUUGUUGGUGGUGUAAAGGACCACCAAGCCGACGAUCCGUACGGGCCUUGAGAGAGGUAGCCCGGAGAAGGGCACUGAGACACUGGCCCUAGCCCUACGGGGUGCAGCAGGCGCGAAACCUUUACAAUGUACGCAAGUGUGAUAAGGGAACUCCAAGUGCUUAUGCUUUGCAUAGGCUUUUGCCAUGGGUAAAAACCAUGGCGAAUAAGUGGUGGGUAAGACGGGUGCCAGCCGCCGCGGUAACACCUGCGCCACGAGUGGGAGCCACGAUUAUUGGGCCUAAAGCGUCCGUAGCCGGUUUUGCAAAUCUUUUGUGAAAUUGUCAGGCUUAACUUGACAACGUGCAGAAGACACUACAAGACUUGGAACCAGUAGGAGUUAGAAGGAUGUUUGGGGGAGCGGUAAAAUGCUAUAAUCCCAGAUAGACUACCUGUGGCGAAGGCGUCUAACUAGAAUGGAUUCGACGGUGAGGGACGAAAGCUAGGGGAGCGAUCCGGAUUAGAUACCCGAGUAGUCCUAGCUGUAAACGUUGCGAGCUAGGUGUUGCAAAUUCUACAUGAAUUUGCAGUGUCGAAGCGAAGGUGUUAAGCUCGCCGCCUGGGAAGUAUGGUCGCAAGACUGAAACUUAAAGGAAUUGGCGGGGGAGCACCACAAGGGGUGCGGCGUGCGGUUUAAUCUAAUUCAACGCAGAAAAUCUCACCAGAGGCGACGGCAGGAUGAAAGUCAAGCUGAAGACUUUACUUGACGAGCCGAGAGGUAGUGCAUGGCCGCCGUCAGCUCGUGCCGUAAGGUGUCCUGUUAAGUCAGGUAACGAGCGAGACCUGUAUCCAUAAUUGCUAACAGAUUCUUUCGAAUGACUGAGCUCUUUAUGGGGACUGCCCUGGAAACAGGGAGGAAGGUGCAGGCAACGGUAGGUCUGUAUGCUCCGAAUCUUCUGGGCUACACGCGCGCAACAAUGGCUGAGACAAUGGGUUACGACUCCGAAAGGAGAAGUUAAUCCUCUAAACUCAGUCCAAGUCUAGAUUGAGGGUUGCAAUUCACCCUCAUGACAAUGGAAUCCCUAGUAAUCGGAUCUCAUCACAAUCCGGUGAAUAUGUCCCUGCUCCUUGCACACACCGCCCGUCAAACCACCCGAGUAGGGUUUAGGUGAGGCUUAGUUUUCAAUUAAGUCGAACCUGAGCUCAGCGAGGAGGGUUAAGUCGUCACAAGGUA
Molecule: ribosomal RNA, 1437 nt
Filed under: metagenome
Description: bacterial SSU rRNA
Rfam family: Archaeal small subunit ribosomal RNA
Source: RNAcentral